This 253-nucleotide ribosomal RNA is filed under the name uncultured bacterium. RNAcentral describes it as "partial 16S ribosomal RNA". It matches the Rfam family "Bacterial small subunit ribosomal RNA", at positions 524 to 776 of the family's 1533-position model. The record is from RNAcentral.
UACGAAGGGGGCUAGCGUUGCUCGGAAUCACUGGGCGUAAAGGGUGCGUAGGCGGGUCUUUAAGUCAGGGGUGAAAUCCUGGAGCUCAACUCCAGAACUGCCUUUGAUACUGAGGAUCUUGAGUCCGGGAGAGGUGAGUGGAACUGCGAGUGUAGAGGUGAAAUUCGUAGAUAUUCGCAAGAACACCAGUGGCGAAGGCGGCUCACUGGCCCGGUACUGACGCUGAGGCACGAAAGCGUGGGGAGCAAGCAGG